Molecule: non-coding RNA, 30 nt
Filed under: Homo sapiens (human)
Lineage: Eukaryota; Metazoa; Chordata; Mammalia; Primates; Hominidae
Source: RNAcentral
UCUCAGAUAGCCCAGCGGCCCCCAGUCCUC